GCCCCUAGUAACGGCGAGUGAAGCGGCAACAGCUCAAAUUUGAAAUCUGGCUUCGGCCCGAGUUGUAAUUUGCAGAGGAUGCUUCUGGCGCGGUGCCUUCCGAGUUCCCUGGAACGGGACGCCACAGAGGGUGAGAGCCCCGUAUGGUCGGACACCAAGCCUGUGUGAAGCUCCUUCGACGAGUCGAGUAGUUUGGGAAUGCUGCUCUAAAUGGGAGGUAAAUCUCUUCUAAAGCUAAAUACCGGCCAGAGACCGAUAGCGCACAAGUAGAGUGAUCGAAAGAUGAAAAGCACCUUGAAAAGGGGGUUAAAUAGUACGUGAAAUUGUUGAAAGGGAAGCACUUAUGACCAGACUUGGGCCGGGCGGCUCAUCAGGGGUUCUCCCCUGUGCACUCCGCCCGGCACAGGCCAGCAUCGGUUUUCGCGGGGGGAUAAGACCGUCGGGAACGUAGCACCCUCCGGGGUGUGUUAUAGCCCGGCGGACGAUACCCUCGCGGGGACCGAGGUUCGCGCUCCGCAAGGAUGCUGGCGUAAUGGUCAUCAGUGACCCGUCUUGAAACACGGACMCA
Molecule: ribosomal RNA, 568 nt
Filed under: Diaporthe saccarata
Lineage: Eukaryota; Fungi; Ascomycota; Sordariomycetes; Diaporthales; Diaporthaceae
Description: eukaryotic LSU rRNA
Rfam family: Eukaryotic large subunit ribosomal RNA
Source: RNAcentral